RNAcentral lists this ribosomal RNA (192 nucleotides) under uncultured Burkholderiales bacterium. RNAcentral's name for it is "partial 16S ribosomal RNA". It matches the Rfam family "Bacterial small subunit ribosomal RNA", at positions 140 to 334 of the family's 1533-position model. Lineage: Bacteria; Pseudomonadati; Pseudomonadota; Betaproteobacteria; Burkholderiales. The record is from RNAcentral.
GGGAUAACGUAGCGAAAGUUACGCUAAUACCGCAUACGAUCUAAGGAUGAAAGCAGGGGAUCUUCGGACCUUGUGCUCCUGGAGCGGCCGAUAUCUGAUUAGCUAGUUGGUGAGGUAAAGGCUCACCAAGGCCACGAUCAGUAGCUGGUCUGAGAGGACGACCAGCCACACUGGAACUGAGACACGGUCCAG